This 253-nucleotide ribosomal RNA is filed under the name uncultured bacterium. RNAcentral's name for it is "partial 16S ribosomal RNA". It matches the Rfam family "Bacterial small subunit ribosomal RNA", at positions 524 to 776 of the family's 1533-position model. The record is from RNAcentral.
UACGUAGGGGGCGAGCGUUGUCCGGAUUUAUUGGGCGUAAAGAGCGUGUAGGCGGCCAGGUAGGUCUGCUGUGAAAACUCGAGGCUCAACCUCGAGACGUCGGCGGAAACCAUCUGGCUAGAGUCCGGAAGAGGAGAGUGGAAUUCCUGGUGUAGCGGUGAAAUGCGCAGAUAUCAGGAGGAACACCGGUGGUGUAGACGGCUCACUGGACCGUAACUGACGCUGAGACACGAAAGCGUGGGUAGCAAACAGG